GGUAAAGCCCUGCCAUCUUAAUGAGAAGGAACACGAGGCAACAGGAUGUAAAAUGAUCUCUUAAGUCAGAAUGAAUCCAUGUUAGAACCAGUGCAGAAUGCUCAUUCUCUGGUCCUCCCAGGCCCUCUCCUUGCAAAGAGGGGCACCUCUCAUUAAGCAGAUGGUUGCACUUCGCUGUCCACCAAAGGCAGCCUUUUCAACUUAAAGCAAGAGGGAGUUAGACUCUGCACUACAUUUUCUGCAGACUUUUGAGACAAGUAGCUCUGAUGCCCUGUCACACCUGGGUUUCCCAGUGUUGACUACUUACAAAGGGCUUGAAAAUGAGAGGGAGAAAUGGUUGUAUAUGAAGAUACACUGAUCUUUACUUUCUUAUCACUGGCUGCCUUCAUAGGGAACUAGAAAUUUGAAGUUGGGAGCAGAUUUUCAGAGCAUUGUGCAUUGUGAUUACCCAGCCACAUUUACAACUAUGAUUUUUAAAAUAUUUUUAAGUGGUUCUUCCACACUGUCUUGAGGGAUCAAAGUAAAUAAAGUAAAUGUUUUGGUGGAUAUAAUACACUAUUGGGUCCCACAGCUCUUUAUUUCAAGAUUAAGAAGACUAAGUGAAAUUGUAAUCGGAAUGAAUCUGAAAAACUGGAAGGAGUAGGUUCUCUUAAUAAGUUGGCAGAUAGACCACGAAAUCCCAUCUGAAGAGCAGGAACAACUUGGCUCCUCAGCACUACCUUCAUUCAGAUUCAUGGAAGAAUAAAUCAGCAGUGUUUGAAGUGCCUCAGAGCAAGUAUGAAUGUGACAAGCACAGAAGAAUUAUUGAAGGCAGGAAUCCAGCUCCGGGUGGCAGAGUUACUGAAAUCUGCUUUAUUCCCUUUUGAACCAUUCAAAGGAAAAAAAGAAAGAAAAAUAUAGUAUAAGCAGAUGUUUCCUUUUCAAUGUUUUUAGCAAACACUCCGAGCAAUUGGACACAGCUGCGUUCCUUGGUCCGCACAGGCCGGCACUGUACUGCAGCUGGUGGACGGCUGCUUAACAAACAACUUGUGGGAUGCUUUCUUAUAGCUCAUCCGCCUCAGUCCUUGGGGAUUCAGGCUGCAAGCCUUGUGAGUUUUGAUGUCGCCAGGGAAGAGGAAGCUUCCAGCUCCAGCUUACAGGGAUGCAGUUAAAGUCUCAUGACCUUGGUCAAGGAAUCUAAUUGUCUUCCCAGCUGUCAUGGUGUCCUAGUAGAGAGGGAUUUGCACCCAGCCCAAGGAGAUCCAACCAGUCCAUUCUAAAGGAGAUCAGUCCUGGGAUUUCUUUGGAAGGAAUGAUGCUAAAGCUGAAACUCCAGUACUUUGGCCACCUCAUGUGAAGAGUUGACUCAUUGGAAAAGACUCUAAUGCUGGGAAGGGAUUGGGGGCAGGAGGAAAAGGGGACGACAGAGGAUGAGAUGGCUGGAAGGCAUCACCGACUCGAUGGACGUGAGUUUGAGUGAACUCUGGGAGUUGGUGAUGGGUAGGGAGGCCUGGCAUGCUGCGAUUCAUGGGGUCGCAAAGAGUCAGACACGACUGAGUGACUGAACAGAACUGAACUGUUUGGCUUCCUGCACGAUUUUUGAAAGUCACUAUUGGGUCGGUCUUGUUUAUCCUCCUUCUCUCGACUCUGGGUGGAUCUCAAGACUGUGGGGACAAGAAGUAUAUAUCCUCCCAUAAAGACUGAAGACCUUUGUCAUGACCUUUAUAUCAGAGACAUCCAUGAGCUUCCUUGGAGGCUCAGUGCUGAAGAAUCCACAUGCUAAUGCAGAAGACACAGGUUCAAUCCCUGGUCCCAGCAGAUCCCACAUGCCAUGGAGCAGCUAAGCCCAUGUGUUGCAACUACUGAAGCCUGAGCAUCCUAGAGCCAGUGCUCUGCAGCAAGAGAAGCCGCCACAAUGAGAAGCCCACUACAGAGUAGCCACUGUUCGUCACAACUAGAGAAAAACGCAAGCAACAAUGAAGACCCAGCACAGCCAAAAACAAAUUAAUAAAAAAAACCCUGAGAGACACAUCCUUAGCCCAAAAGACUUGGGGUACCUUGAAGGAGUAAUGAUUAUGUUGCCUUGACAUCCUACCCAGAGAGAUGAGAAAAACAUUCCUCUAGAAAGCUCAUGUGGCAGUUUGUUUUUUCCAAAAGUGAACACAAGAAUAUCUCUGGCCUCACAUGAACUUCGGAAAAGUUUUCACAUCUCUCGCAUGGAGUCUAUGUCCCCUUCCUCAAUACCCACCCCCACCCCAUGUUGCAUUUCUAGUUCUAGGAACUGGUCACUGAACAGGAGUGUCACUGCCCACGCUUUAUUCACUCAACUGUUUUAUUGUAAAAUGCCAUGUGCUCCGUUCAAAGGGCCUCAUUAUUAUCAGGACAGAACCACAAUGUUGCUGUUGGGAUUCAUGCUCUGUGAGAGCAGGCAGGGAGCAUUAGGAGCAGCCAUCCAUUUUAUAUAUAAAGACACCAAUGCCCAGAGAGGGUAAGUUAAUUGUUCAACUCACACAACUAGUAGCAUAAAACAGGGUCUUCAAUUCCAAGCUGUGCCAGAGGCAGCUUGUGCCAGCAUGCAAGGAUCAAUUUGGACAUUUUCAGGAAUUUUGCAGGUCUGUGACCAUGAUGGGAAUUUUUACACCAGGGGAAUUGGCAACCUCUCCAAUUCAGGGCUUUCCUCUCCUCUCCUUCCCCUGGAAAGCUAGCUGUUACGCGUUUGCCUGCACACCAUUGCCCUAAUGUUCUCUCCUGUCUUGAGAGAUGGAAUGGAGGUCCCCUGGGCUCUAGGCUUUUUUCUUUGUUGUCAGCCAGAUAUCCUGCCCUCAACAGGGUACAGUUCCUACAACAUAGGGCUUCCCAUCUAAGAUUCCCUCCAAAACCUGUGUCUCAUAGUCACCUGAGGAUCAAUAUAUUCAAAAUAAAACGCUUGAUUUCCCAGCUGCCUCCUCCAGCUUGCUCUCACCUCAACACCAUGCACCACUAUUCCCCAAAAGAUUCACCCUGGAAAACGGGGAGGCAUCCGUGAUUAUUCCUUUCUUUUCCUCAUAUUGUGGAUUAAAUUGUGCCCCCCUAAAGAUAUGUUGAGAAGUCCUAAGCCCUGGUACCUGUGAAUGUGACCUUAUUAGGAACAGAAUCUUUGUAGAUAUAAUUAAGAUGUAAGUCGAGACCAUACUUGUAAAAGACUUAAUGAACAGAAGCCUCAAUCAAAUGGAGUCAGGAGACCAGAAAGGGAAGCUCUGAUGCCCUGUGACAAGAGCAGAGCCCAACAGGAGGAAGAGUGACUCUCCUCUUUCCUGGGGAGGACUCAGCCAGUGAAAAGCCAUGGAUUCUUUGCUUGCUAUGACUCUCUGACAUUCCUCUCCUUCUCUAUAAAAGCUCUUUCCUGCUCUUGCACUUGGCUCAGCGUAGUUGCAGAACUGCAAUUCUCUGCUGAUCCUGAAUAAACCCAUCUUUUUGGAGACAUAUCUGGCAGUCUAUUUGACAUGCUAGAGUAGGGUAAAUGCUUCAUCCAGUAUGACUGGUGUCAUUAUAAAAAAAGAAGACGAGACAGAGAGAAACAUGGGGGAGAUGCCAUAUGAUGAUUGAGGCAGAGAUUAGAACAAUGUGUCUGCAAAGCUAAGCAGCAUCCAGGCCUGUCAGCAACCACAAAAGCCAAGAGAACAGCAUGGAGUAGAUUGUCCCCUAGAGCUUCAGAGACAGCAUGGCCUGCCAACACCUUGAUUUCAGGCAUCUAGCUUGCAAAACUGUGUGAGAAUAAAUUUCUGUUGGUGUUAAGCCACCUAAUUUGUGAUCGUUUGUUACAGGUCCUAGGAAACUAACACAUCUCACAGUCCCUGGCCUCGUCAUGUUUUUUCCCACCAGCAAGACCUAUCAAUUAUGUUUCCAAAUAGAACUCAAAUCUGUCUGCUUUUCUGCUGCCACAGUAAUUCAGACCACUCUCAUCAGCAGCAUGGACACUGCAACCAUCUCCUACCUGGUCCAUACUUGACCGCUCCAGUUCAUUCAGAAGGAUCCACAUAAACCCUUAGAUCACAUUACUCUCUACUCAAACAUCUGGUUCCCAUUGCUCUUAGCAUAGCCUCUGUGUCUUAACAUGGCUCACAAGAUGCUACCUGAGCUCCUAAUCUUUAAAGCCUCACCUUCUCCCUCUAUGCUCUAGCUAUUGUUUAUUUUUUAUUUGUUUAUUUAUUUAUAGUUCAUCAAAUUUGGCAAGUUCUUUUUCAUCUCAGGACCUUUGCCAGAAGUACUCUGCCUGGGGAACCUUCCACAGACUUCCUCCUAAUUAUUAUCUUUCAAUUGUCUGCUCCUUCUCACCUUUAGGUCUAUAAACCUUUCCCUCCAUCUCUGCUUUUUCCUUUCUCUGAUAGAUCGCAUUUUCAAAGAUAAUCAUAAAUAAGAUCCACAUAUCACCCACCUUUCGAUGGUCCAAGACACUGCGCUCUGAAGGCAUUCCAAAUAUCCUGAAAAAAGCGCCCCCAGGAGAAAUAAGCUUGACCACCAUACCAUCACCCAGUUUCUCCUGAACUCCGAGUCAGCCAUGAAG
This is a long non-coding RNA of Bos taurus (domestic cattle), 4522 nucleotides long. The record is from Ensembl. Lineage: Eukaryota; Metazoa; Chordata; Mammalia; Artiodactyla; Bovidae.